GGGUGGAGCCUCUAAGGAAAAUUCUGUUGCUAGGCCAAGGGGCAAGGUUUGGAAAGACACUAUGUGCUGCCAAGCCCAGGAAAGCAAGUUAAUGAGAAGUUCUGACCUGCAGGUCACCGUGCCCCUCAGCCUCUGUAACUCUGCGAGCCAAUUCGUUAUAAGAAGUCCUGGAGCUGAAGACUGUGGCUCAGCAAUGAAGAAUGCUAACAGCUCUCACAGAGGACCAGAGCUCAGCUCCCAGCAUCGGCAUCAGAUGACUCACAAACACUCCUGGAUCUCCAGCUCUAAGGGAUCAGAUGUCCCCUUGUUGCCUCUGUGGGCACCCAGACAUGUGCGCAGAUAUACACAUAAGUAAAAUAAAUCUUAAAAAAAAAAAACAAACCCAGUCAACCAUCCAUCACCUGUCCCGCAUCCUCACGGCUCUGGCUCUCUGCAGCACCCGGACUGCCCUAAUACAAGCCUCCCCACCUUGCUGCCUUCUUUACUCAAUGUGGAAGUUACGGGUAGGGACAAACCUGAGACAGGCCAAGCAGGAGGAAGGAGAGACUCAGAGGCUUGGAAGGAAAGCAAAUGUUGGCAAUUUGGUGAUGUGACAAAUAGAGGCAGUGGACGCAGGGC
This 618-nucleotide long non-coding RNA is filed under the name Cricetulus griseus (Chinese hamster). Its description in RNAcentral is "lncRNA (ENSCGRG00015006339.2)". The record is from RNAcentral. Lineage: Eukaryota; Metazoa; Chordata; Mammalia; Rodentia; Cricetidae.